This 84-nucleotide transfer RNA is filed under the name Roseibacillus sp. RNAcentral describes it as "tRNA-Leu". It matches the Rfam family "tRNA". Rfam says of the family: Transfer RNA (tRNA) molecules are approximately 80 nucleotides in length. Their secondary structure includes four short double-helical elements and three loops (D, anti-codon, and T loops). Further hydrogen bonds mediate the characteristic L-shaped molecular structure. tRNAs have two regions of fundamental functional importance: the anti-codon, which is responsible for specific mRNA codon recognition, and the 3' end, to which the tRNAs corresponding amino acid is attached (by aminoacyl-tRNA synthetases). tRNAs cope with the degeneracy of the genetic code in two manners: having more than one tRNA (with a specific anti-codon) for a particular amino acid; and 'wobble' base-pairing, i.e. permitting non-standard base-pairing at the 3rd anti-codon position. Lineage: Bacteria; Pseudomonadati; Verrucomicrobiota; Verrucomicrobiia; Verrucomicrobiales; Verrucomicrobiaceae. The record is from RNAcentral.
GCCGCCGUGGCGGAAUUGGUAGACGCUGCGGACUUAAAAUCCGCUUCUGGCAACGGAGUGAGGGUUCGAGUCCCUCCGGCGGCA